GGGGCUGGGGAUAUAACUCAGUUGGUAGAGUGCUUGCCUCAUGAACACGAGGCUCUGGGUUCAAUCCCCAGCAGCCCCC
Molecule: non-coding RNA, 79 nt
Organism: Sciurus carolinensis (gray squirrel)
Lineage: Eukaryota; Metazoa; Chordata; Mammalia; Rodentia; Sciuridae
Source: the annotation of a RefSeq genome assembly